RNAcentral lists this non-coding RNA (268 nucleotides) under Propionispora sp. RNAcentral describes it as "T-box sequence". The stretch from base 1 to 206 matches the Rfam family "T-box leader". Rfam says of the family: Uncharged tRNA acts as the effector for transcription antitermination of genes in the T-box leader family. T-boxes are found upstream of many aminoacyl-tRNA synthetase genes and some amino acid biosynthetic genes usually in Gram-positive bacteria. The anticodon of a specific tRNA base pairs to a specifier sequence within the T-box motif, and the NCCA acceptor tail of the tRNA base pairs to a conserved bulge in the T-box antiterminator hairpin. Lineage: Bacteria; Bacillati; Bacillota; Negativicutes; Selenomonadales; Sporomusaceae. The record is from RNAcentral.
UUACCGAUGAUGACGGAAAAAAGUAACUCAGUAGUUUUCAUACAGAGAGCUGGUGGCUGGUGCGAACCAGUUGAAAAUGCCGGGUGAAGUUCCUUCCUGAAUUGCAGGCUGAAAUAGCAGUAGGCCGUGCCGUAUGUCUACGUUACAGACAGUAAAGUGGAUCUUGCGAUCGAAACAGGGUGGUACCGCGGCUUUUCGCCCCUUUGGUACGCCCUUUUUAUUUUGUCAUGAUCUAAAUGGGUGGUACCGCGGAGCUUUCGUCCCUUAU